AGGUUUUUCCAUGUAACAUCAACAGAAAGCAAAGCUGUAUCAAAUAGGGCCAAAUUCAAGAAGAUGCCAGUGAAGCACUAGGGCACAGCCUUGAUCACAAACCCCAAAGGAAUACUACUUUAAAUUUUAAAACUGCUCAAUUAAUAUGAAUAAGUGAGGUGGUUUGUGUUUGCUUAGUACAAUGCAAAUCACUGAGGAUGUUUGCAGGAAACCUGUUCUCCUUGAUAACUCCUGCUGUCUCUGCAACACCUGCAAAGAUCUUUCCCUGCUAGAGGAGAAACAAGUGGCCUAGAAGAAAAGAGUUCCUCUUUUCCCAACUAUCUGGGACACUUUAAAUAAUGUUGUUUCAAAAUGACAAGAAUGGCGACAUGUUUAUAUCUGCUGUUCCUUUUUGGGUUGGCCUCAUGAGGCAGUUCUUACUGUCAAAUCUUCCACAGCAGGAUGUGUGCACAGAAGAUUACUGCAGGCACUACCCAGAGGAUUAAAAAAAUACAUAUUACAUAUCAUAGGAAAACAGGACAGCUCUUCUAUGUUCUCCGUAGAGGGUCAGAAAUAGGAUGUGUUAUACACCUAGGUUUAUGUCUGCACAGUUUAUGUCCUGCAGCAUGCUGAUUUGAAUAUAUUUAAAGGAAACAAGAAGGAGUUAUGUGGUGGGAGAAAGGUAAAGAAAUAAAAUUAAGUGACAGGUGUAUAUUAGUUUGCUAGGGCUGCAGUAAUAAGGAACCAUGAAUUGAGUGGCUUAAAACAUCAGAAAUGUAUUGUCUCAUGGUUCUGGAGGCUAGAAGUUCAAGAUCAAGUUGCCGGCAGGGUUGGGCCCUUCUAAAGACUGGGAGCGACACUGUUUCAUGCCUCUCCCCUAGCUUCUGAUGGGUAGCUGGCAAUCUUGGCAUCUUCUGGCUUGUAGACACAUUAUCCUGAUCUCUGCUAUUAUCUUCACAUGAAGUUCUCAUGAUGUUCUCCCUGUGUGUCUAUCUGUGUGUCCAAAUUUCACCUAUUUAUGAGGACACCAGUCAUAGUGAAGUCACUAUGACCUCGUCUUAACUCAUUAAAUUUGCAAUGUUCUAUUUCCAAAUAAGGUCACAUUCUGAGGUACAGGGAGUUAGGACUUCAACAUAUGAAUGAGGACUGGGGGGUAGCACAAUGCAACCCAUGCCACAGGUGCUUUAUUCAUGUUAGCUCAUUUAAUCUACAAAACAAUUCCAUAAGAAAGAAGACCAUGUUUCUCUUCUUAGUGAUAAAGAAGUGGAAGCUCAGUAAGAACUCUAAAGCGCAUGGCCAUGGAAAAGGACACUAGUAAUAAGUUACGGAAACUACUCAGUCCAGUAUCUGGGCAGAAUCACUAUUCCAUAUAAGUUUUUCCGGGAUGAAAAAAAGGAAAGAAAAAUAAAGGCUACCCUGCAAGAGCCCCCUUUGUUAACACACACUGUUUGCAUCCUGGCUCAAGUGUGAAUCCUCCUACCAAGCUGUAAAUCUUCACUCCUGCUUUUCUACAGAAUCCAAGAACAACUUUGUUUGCAAACUUGCUUUGGAAAUGAGAGUGAGGUAAGUUUUCCAGUGUCUGACAGCUAGGAAGUACCAGGACACUGUAUCUCAAAGACUCCAAGUUGAGACCUUUCCUGUGUGCCACAAUGCCGGAACAAACUCCCUCCCCGAGUACGAGAUUCCAGAAGCAGAACCGUGGACAAUUUUUAAACUCAGAAAGCCUCCUGUGGAGUUGGGACUCACAGCUCACAGCCACGAAAUCACUGUCCAUUAACUGUUUGGUUUCCUGAGAGCAGAGAUUAGGGAUCCUCAGUCUUGCCUGUAUAUCAAUACCACCUGGGACCACUCAGACCAGGUGAAUCAAUGUCCCUGCAGGUUGGGCCCAGGUAAUGGUUUAUUACGUGUUCUAUGUAAGUUUAGGGUAUAACCAAGUGGUUAGAAUUACUAACUAAAUCAAACCUCUUUACUGACCAAUUACAUUAGAAUGUAAAUUCU
RNAcentral lists this long non-coding RNA (1977 nucleotides) under Homo sapiens (human). RNAcentral's name for it is "HSALNT0292436". Lineage: Eukaryota; Metazoa; Chordata; Mammalia; Primates; Hominidae. The record is from RNAcentral.